UGAGGCACGGAGCGGCAACUCACCCAAGGUCAGACCUGUGGCAGAGCUGGGACUAGGACACAUAUCUCCUGCGUGCCAGGCCAGUGCACUACACAUUAGCCUGCACUGCCUCUCUGCAAUACAGUACAGGUGCCAGAGGCAAGAAGCCCCGUCUGUCUCCCUGAGGUACCCUGAGACUUGACUUGCGGAUGUGCAUGAAAACUCUUGGGUCCUGGCAAGUGCAGCUCUACGAGGGGUGGUGUGUUCCUAGGACGUCCCCGGGAGAUCCAGCUCUCGCUCUGUUCUCCGGGCUGAAGGCUGGAUCGGUCCCAGCUGGCCCUGUCUUAGGCUGAGGCUGCCAGGAGGUCCAGCUGCCCACACUGAAACCCGGCCUCCCCUGGGCCACAGAGUUGGGUGCACAAAAGCCCAGGAAAUGCCAAAGGCUCCACAGUUCCCUGGCACUGGCCUUUGUGCCCCAUCAGAUCCUACUGCAGCUCCACAGACUGACCCGACCUCUGCAGACUGACACGGGGGGCCCAGAGCUGAGUCAGAUGCUCCAAGGCUGGACACUGCCAAAUCAUCGACUUCAAGGGUUUACAAACCAAUCAUCGGGCCCCCAGAAAAUCCCAAGAGUGACUUAAAAAAUCAUAAAAAGAAAAGGAGUACUUGUGGCACCUUAGAGACUAACAAA
Molecule: long non-coding RNA, 670 nt
Organism: Dermochelys coriacea (leatherback sea turtle)
Lineage: Eukaryota; Metazoa; Chordata; Testudines; Dermochelyidae
Exons: 3
Source: RefSeq, a predicted model, not a curated record